UGAGUAACAUGUGGGAAUCUACCUGAAGGUUCGGAAUAACUGCGGGAAACUGUAGCUAAUACCGGAUGUGUCUGCAAAGAGAAAGAUUUAUCGCCUUCAGAUGAGCCCGCACUAGAUUAGCUAGUUGGUGAGGUAAUUGCUCCACCAAGGCUACGAUCUAUAGCUGAUUUGAGAGGAUGAUCAGCCACACUGGGACUGAGACACGGCCCAGACUCCUACGGGAGGCAGCAGUAGGGAAUAUUGGACAAUGGGGGAAACCCUGAUCCAGCAAUGCCGCGUGAGUGAAGAAGGCCUUCGGGUUGUAAAACUCUUUCAUCAAUGAUGAUAAUGACAUUAGUUGAAGAAGAAGCUCCGGCUAACUUCGUGCCAGCAGCCGCGGUAAUACGAAGGGGGCUAGCGUUGUUCGGAAUCACUGGGCGUAAAGCGUAUGUAGGCGGAUCAAAAAGUUAGAUGUGAAAUCCCUGGGCUCAACCCAGGAACUGCAUUUAAAACUAGUGAUCUAGAAUUUGGUAGGGGUUAGUAGAAUUUCCAGUGUAGAGGUGAAAUUCGUAGAUAUUGGAAAGAAUACCAGUGGCGAAGGCGACUAACUGGGCCAUUUUUGACGCUGAGAUACGAAAGCGUGGGUAGCAAACAGGAUUAGAUACCCUGGUAGUCCACGCAGUAAACGAUGAGUGCUAGUCGCUGGGACAAUAGUUUCAGUGUCGAAGCUAACGCAUUAAGCACUCCGCCUGGGAAGUACGGUCGCAAGAUUAAAACUCAAAUAAAUUGACGGGGGCCCGCACAAGCGGUGGAGCAUGUGGUUUAAUUCGAAGCAACGCGAAGAACCUUACCAGACCUUGACAUGGUGUGUUUGAAUUACAGAAUCGUAAUUCUUCAGUUCGGCUGGCACACACACAGGUGCUGCAUGGCUGUCGUCAGCUCGUGUCGUGAGAUGUUGGGUUAAGUCCCGCAACGAGCGCAACCCUCAUUUUUAGUUGCCAUCAGGUUAUGCUGGGCACUCUAAAAAAACUGCCGGUGAUAAGCUGGAGGAAGGCGGGGAUGACGUCAAGUCCUCAUGGCCCUUACGGUCUGGGCUACACACGUGCUACAAUGGUGGUGACAGUGGGCAGCAAUACUGCAAAGUAAAGCUAAUCCCAAAAAACCAUCUCAGUUCGGAUUGGACUCUGCAACUCGAGUCCAUGAAGUUGGAAUCGCUAGUAAUCGUAGAUCAGCGUGCUACGGUGAAUACGUUCUCGGGCCUUGUACACACCGCCCGUCACGCCAUGGGAGUUGGUUUUACCUUAAG
RNAcentral lists this ribosomal RNA (1285 nucleotides) under uncultured bacterium. RNAcentral describes it as "bacterial SSU rRNA". It matches the Rfam family "Bacterial small subunit ribosomal RNA", at positions 107 to 1426 of the family's 1533-position model. The record is from RNAcentral.